UACGGGGGGGGCAAGCGUUGUUCGGAAUUACUGGGCGUAAAGGGCUCGUAGGUGGCCAACUAAGUCAUACGUGAAAUCCCUCGGCUUAACCGAGGAACUGCGUCUGAUACUGGAUGGCUUGAGGUUGGGAGAGGGAUGCGGAAUUCCAGGUGUAGCGGUGAGAUGCGUAGAUAUCUGGAGGAACACCGGUGGCGAAGGCGGCAUCCUGGACCAAUUCUGACACUGAGGAGCGAAAGCCAGGGGAGCAAACGGG
This 253-nucleotide ribosomal RNA is filed under the name uncultured bacterium. Its description in RNAcentral is "partial 16S ribosomal RNA". It matches the Rfam family "Bacterial small subunit ribosomal RNA", at positions 524 to 776 of the family's 1533-position model. The record is from RNAcentral.